Molecule: ribosomal RNA, 1017 nt
Filed under: uncultured Mycoplasma sp.
Lineage: Bacteria; Bacillati; Mycoplasmatota; Mollicutes; Mycoplasmatales; Mycoplasmataceae
Description: bacterial SSU rRNA
Rfam family: Bacterial small subunit ribosomal RNA
Source: RNAcentral
AAGUGAUUAAUACCCCAUACUAAAUUCUCUCUCCGGAGAGUUUUUUUAAAGGUGCAAACCGCAGGAGGAUUGGAAUAUGUUCUAUUAGCUAGUUGGUGAGUUAAAAGCCCACCAAGGCGAUGAUAGAUAGCUGGUCUUAGAGGAUGAACAGCCACAAUGGGAUUGAGAUACGGCCCAUAUUCCUACGGGAAGCAGCAGUAGGGAAUCUUCCACAAUGGACGAAAGUCUGAUGGAGCAAUGCCAUGUGAAUGAUGAAGGCCUUUUUGGUCGUAAAAUUCUUUUAGGGGGGAAAACUCUGAUGGUACCCCCUGAAUAAGUGACAGCAAACUAUGUGCCAGCAGCUGCGGUAAUACAUAGGUCGCGAGCGUUAUUCGGAUUUAUUGGGCGUAAAGCAAGCGCAGGCGGAUUGACAAGUUCUGUGUUAAAAGCAGCUGCUCAACAGUUGUUUGCACCGAAUACUGUCAGUCUAGAAUGUGGUAGGAAGUUUUGGAAUUAAAUGUGGAGCGGUGGAAUGUGUAGAUAUAUUUAAGAACACCAGAGGCGAAAGCGAAAACUUAGGCCAUUAUUGACGCUUAGGCUUGAAAGUGUGGGUAGCAAAUGGGAUUAGAUACCCCAGUAGUCCACACCGUAAACGAUGGGUAUUAGAUGUCGGAUUUUGAGGUUCGGCGUUGUAGCUUACGUGUUAAAUACCCCGCCUGGGUAGUACAUAUGCAAAUAUGAAACUCAAAGGAAUUGACGGGGACCUGAACAAGUGGUGGAACAUGUUGCUUAAUUCGAUAAUACACGAAAAACCUUACCAAGGUUUGACAUCCCUCGCGAAACUAUGGAAACAUAGCGGAGGUUAUCGAGGUGACAGGUGGUGCAUGGCUGUCGUCAGCUCGUGUCAUGAGAUGUUUGGUUAAGUCCCGCAACGAGCGCAACCCUACUCUUUAGUUGAUUAUCUAAAGAGACUGCACAGUAAUGUAGAGGAAGGUUGGGAUCACGUCAAGUCAUCAUGCCCCUUAUGCCUUGGGCCGC